GCGAUGCUGGUUUAAGGGUAAAAUCCAAGCUUCCCAUGUCCUAUUCAAAGACAGAAAUUGCUUGGGCUCCGGGUUCGAGUCCCGGGCGUCGCA
Xylariaceae sp. AK1471 is the source of this 93-nucleotide non-coding RNA. The record is from the annotation of a GenBank genome assembly. Lineage: Eukaryota; Fungi; Ascomycota; Sordariomycetes; Xylariales; Xylariaceae.